This 5939-nucleotide long non-coding RNA is filed under the name Brassica rapa (field mustard). RNAcentral describes it as "long non-coding RNA (BRAP_LNC008351)". Lineage: Eukaryota; Viridiplantae; Streptophyta; Magnoliopsida; Brassicales; Brassicaceae. The record is from RNAcentral.
AUUUUCAGAGCACAGGUUGUGUGUGGGCGUGAUGAAUCAACCUCCACAGGUUGGGACUGAGUCUUGUGUCAACAAUGGAAGAGAAUAAAAAGAGAGACUGAUGGAAGAAUAAGAAUGGCGUGAGAAUAAGAGACUUUGAGUGAGAGAUUGAGAGAUUAGAGAGACUGAGAGAUUAAGUAACCAGAGAAUAGAGAUUUGGAGAUUCAAAGUAACCAAAGACUAGGAAGGAGAAGGGGAAAUCCCCCUUACUCACUUAGAGCUUACAAAUCGUCUCUGCCUCUUAUUUAAAUAGGACAGACUGUUUUCUACUAGGGUUUACAGUCAGAUACAUCACACAUGUGAAGUCAAACAAGGAGGAGCCUUAUUUUGAAUUCUAUGGACCAUAAGCUUCACAUGCUUGGCCAAUAGGAAGCUUGGGCGUUCCUGGUCUUUACACAGGCUGUCAUGAGCUGUCUUGUGGACUGAAUAAGCCAAUAGGAGUGAAGACCUUAUCCAUACACGGACAGCAUCUUGCCUGAUCCUUUCCAAGGCCAUCCAAGAUGCCAUUUUGAUCCCUUCUUCAUGUAUAAGGUCCAAAUGAGUUUCUCCAUGCCUUGUGACCCAAGUCAUGACCAGACCAUGCUGUACGGACUUCCUGGCCGUACACAUUGUGCCCUAAGCUUGCACAUUCCUCAACUAUGCUUAAGUGGUCGAGAUGAUAAGUUUUGGGACGCCCUGGUCCGUACGGUCCGUACAGUCCGUACGGCCGUCCGUACGGAUCGCCCUAACUUUCUCAUUAACCAUUGCAGCCUAAACUCCUCCAAUGUUCUCCCAUGUCUGAUUAGAACCCUUCUUGGACAUUGCCCCAAUCUUGUAUCAGCUUCUCAUCACUUCUGAAGCUUCAUAGAACUCUUCUUAAGAUCUUCAAGAGCUUGCCCCUAUAUGUACAAGCUCCAUUCUUCUCUUCAGUUCAACACUCCCCCUCAAGCUUGACUUUAGGAGAUCCUAAGCCAAGCUUGGAACUCUGAAGAGUCUCCCUCAUUAAAAACCUUACAAGGAAAACCCAUUGGGACAAAACCUUGCAAGGGAAAAAGAGUAGAGCUCUUCAAAGCCUAGGGAUUAGCCAGUGAGCUCUUGUGCCUUAGAACCAGUGUGGUUGGACACAAGAAGCUCUGGAUCACGGCCUAACAGGUGCAGCAACUCUUCACAGCUUUGCGCACACUUCACACUUCAGCUUCACCUCUUCAUGGAACCGGUUUGAAGUCUCCCCCUCUCAACUGACUUCACAGCCAUCUUAGAGAGGCUAGGACACGACCAGAUUAUCUUCAAAACACUAGUGAGGCUAAUCAACACUUCACACACGGCUUGCCCUCUUCAUAGAACUGGUUUGGAUCUCCCCCUCUCAACAGACUUCUCAGCCAUCUUAGAGAAGCAGGGAACUGACCAGGAACAUCUUUAGUGAGGCUCAAGCAAUGGUACCUGAUACAUUAUCCCAAAGGUGCAUCAGUACCUAUCAAAAAACAAGAAAAUGAAUAUCCUGCAUCACACUUGAUGCACACAAUCUCACAACUCAAUCAUAAUCAUCUUAAGUAUCUUUUCAAGCACAAGCAAUGAAUAAGAUGAAUGAAAAAGAUUGAAAAGAGGAUUAAAAGUCUAAGGGAACUUCCCUUGUGUUUUUGUGAGUUUCCAAACUCUCUCAAUGCACCACCUUCAUGGCCUCAUCAACUUCUUGGAAAGGCAGAAUGGAUUCAUCAGCUUCUCCUCAAUCACCUCUCAUUGAAGCCGCAUUGAUGGAGAGCCUUCCUCCUCACUUGCCAAGGCUGCUCUGAACAGCCUCUUGCCUAGGCACGCCACUGCCUUGGUCCGGUUGAUGAUCCUUGUAGAAGCUUUUGCAAAAGACUUGUUACUGACCAUGGAUCAUAUGCAUUAAGACUCCCCCUCAAGCUUAGAACCGAAACCAGAAGGAGCUAAGCUUGUGAUGAUCCUAUGCAUCUCCAUGGUCUAAUAACUAUCAUCUUUCAUGAUAGCUUUCUUCUUGUGAGUUUACUCUCUUCCUUAACCAGGAACUAGGGUGUUUGAAUCACCAUAGAGAGUCUCACAAGACACACCUCUCAUUGCAUAAUGACCCAUGCUACACUUCCUGUAGACUAAGGACUAGAUAUGUCCAAUGGUAUUAUGCAAUGGCACAAGACCUUUGUCUUUACAUUCUUGGUUGUUGGUGAGUUACAUGUAUCCCAUUCCUUGUAUACCUAACACCACCACAACUCAAUGCAAGAUCAGAUCAUCCCAUUGGGAUCAAACCAAGAUUAUCCAUCCUGUUUGAUCACCAAUGCCACAAUAAUAUAUGAUACUUGAAACAAGCUAGACAAUCAAGCAAAGACAAUCAAUUCAGUUUUUUUUAAAUGCAACAAUAACUGAAUGCAUUAGGUUACAUACUCACUAUAUGAAUGAAAUAGAUUUAACCCAAAUGAAACACAAGCCUAGAUGAUACUUAUGCAAUCAAGGCGACAAGAGUGACACAAUUCAUUCUUAUGCUCACUAGUUUUAUCAAUGCCAAUGAUCCAAAUAGCUUAGACAUACUUCUAAAUGCUUAUAAGACAUCACUGAUGGAUUUAACUAUGGCAUAGCAACAAUCAGAACUUUAGGCUCAUUUUUAAAUGCAUUACUACAUGAAUGCACAAUCUUAAAGCUUUAGCUAUAUGAAUGCAACAGGUUCAAUCCAUGAGCAAUAUUAAGGCUAUGCACAACAGUUUCAAUCAAAACCAAUGAUGCAAACAACUUAGACAAUUUCUAAUUGAUGCAAGACUUUCAUUGAUGGAUUAAACAUAGGCAAUAGCAUCAGAUAACAAAAGGAUUGAACUUAGACAGUAUGAGAUAUGAUUAUGUAUGCAAAAUAACUUAUCAAUCAUGACGCAAGCAGCAGAGACAUUCUACUCAAUUCUACAACACAUUCAUGAUGAUUCAAGCUAUGACAACACUCAAGACAACGCAAUAAACAAAACAUGAGAUUCUGGGACUCUAGACAUUACUUACUAUCAAUAUGACAAUGCAACAGCAAAACAAUUUCAGUGCAAUUAGCCUAGACAUUCUACUAGAAGCUAUAAACACUUAAUGGAAUUAGGGAAAGCACAUAGUAUAAUCAGGAGUUAAACCUAUCAAGACAUAUUAAGAUAGAUGAGAUUAGGUUUACUCCCUUGGUUAAGAUGAUGAGGAGUGGUUCUCAGAGUUACCACUUGAAUCCUUACUUCUUCUUCUUCUCUUAUUGCAAUCACCCUUCUGAAGUCACCACCAUGAUGGAAUGCUUGUGGAUGCUUCAGCUACUUCUUCAAUCACCUCACAAUAGAAGCCGCCUUGAUAGAGUAGCCUUCUUCUUCACACAGCCAAGAGUGCUCUGUCUUAGUUUGAGCACCCUCUUGAAUAGGCACGCCACUGCCUAGACCCGGUUGGCUUCUUCUUCUGAUACUUGCAAUGUUAAGAAGAAGAGCACGAGUGAGUUCUACAACCAUCUGUGCUUCUCCCUUUCUUGUAACACCUCUCCAUUGUACACACAAUGGGCAUCAUUCUUUCUCUUUCAACUCGGAUUUGAUGAUGAACUAGGAGCACCUUUUGUGAACCUGAAACAUCACUCAAACUCUAGCCAAGAUAAGACACAAUUGCAUUGGGAUCAAUCCUUGACUUCAUCAAGUUUGAUCACCAAUGUCUCAAGCUUUAUAACAUUAGAUAGAAUCAAGACAAUGUCAAGUUCUUAUCUAUGCAAGCAACCAUUCUCUAAAUACUAAGCAAGACCUUAUCAGAUUCAAGUCAAAGUAUUUAGGCAAUUUUAAUCACUCCUUAAUAUGCAACUUAGACUUUAAUCUAAAUGCAACAAUCCAAAGCAGCAACAAGGCAGUAUGCAUUAAUCUUAACAGUUUCUAACUCAUGAAAGCAAGUAUGAUCAGAUAGUAUAAUCUAUCAUCUUAACAAGACAAGUUAAUUUAGAGCUGUCAUUAAGCAUUUACCAUUUUCAAUAGUAUUGAUGUCAAAACUUGAUUAAUAAAUCAUCAAGUUUGAUUCCCAAUAACACAAGCAAUGCAACAGAUAGACACAAGGUAUUAUCAAGUUCUAUUCUUUGCAAGCUAGCUCUCUAAGUACAAGCAAGAUCCUAACAGAUUCUAGACAAGUUACUUAGGCACUUUUAAAACUUCUUUACUCAGCAAUUUAGACAUGAAUCUAAUGCUUCAAUGUAAGACAGCCACAAGACUAUAUGCAACAGCUUUAAAUUCAGUUUCAAUCAAUGUAUGCAAGCAGAUUCACUUAAUCACAACAAGCAUCACUAGGGCGUGGCUAGGACAUGAGAUCCUGGGACACAAGACACUACUCAAUGCAAACAAUGUGACAGCGAAACAACUUCAGUACCAUUAUGCAAGUAGCUUAGACAUUCUACUAGAUGCUACAAUAUUAAUGGCAUUUUAGUUAUGGCAAUCACACAGAACCAACCACACCACACAACACAACCGUUUAAUAAAGACACAAGCUUUAAGCAAGGGAAGGAGGUUUAGCUUACAAACCAAGGAACCUGUGCUGGUUCCUUGAACCUCCAAGGCAACACGCAUCAUAAAUGGACAGGUCUGAGCUGUUGGUUUGAGAACCAACAUCUCCUUCUUUGCCUGGCCUUUCUCCUUGAACCCACCAUGCCAAAAACACCUCCUUUCACCAUGUUUGAGUCGCCACCACAAGACCCAAGUAGAAAGCUUUCUUCUUGAAAGGUUCUUCUUGGACAGAGAGUAGGAAAGGCUUGGACAUGCUUCCAAUGGCCUUCUUUCUUCAGGACGGACAUGAGAGAGUGUAGAACGACCAAGGACAGCUCCUGGACACCAUGGAUGAGCACAUCUUCUUCUUGAAGAGGUUGAACAGCCGGCUGGACCAUGAAGCUUUUUCUUGGCUUGAAAUGGCAUGGGAGUGAGUUUGUGCUUGAGCGGAAGCUGGAACCAAGUUCUGAUGAACCUGGCUCUGAUACCAUAUUAGAUUUUCAGAGCACAGGUUGUGUGUGGGCGUGAUGAAUCAACCUCCACAGGUUGGGACUGAGUCUUGUGUCAACAAUGGAAGAGAAUAAAAAGAGAGACUGAUGGAAGAAUAAGAAUGGCGUGAGAAUAAGAGACUUUGAGUGAGAGAUUGAGAGAUUAGAGAGACUGAGAGAUUAAGUAACCAGAGAAUAGAGAUUUGGAGAUUCAAAGUAACCAAAGACUAGGAAGGAGAAGGGGAAAUCCCCCUUACUCACUUAGAGCUUACAAAUCGUCUCUGCCUCUUAUUUAAAUAGGACAGACUGUUUUCUACUAGGGUUUACAGUCAGAUACAUCACACAUGUGAAGUCAAACAAGGAGGAGCCUUAUUUUGAAUUCUAUGGACCAUAAGCUUCACAUGCUUGGCCAAUAGGAAGCUUGGGCGUUCCUGGUCUUUACACAGGCUGUCAUGAGCUGUCUUGUGGACUGAAUAAGCCAAUAGGAGUGAAGACCUUAUCCAUACACGGACAGCAUCUUGCCUGAUCCUUUCCAAGGCCAUCCAAGAUGCCAUUUUGAUCCCUUCUUCAUGUAUAAGGUCCAAAUGAGUUUCUCCAUGCCUUGUGACCCAAGUCAUGACCAGACCAUGCUGUACGGACUUCCUGGCCGUACACAUUGUGCCCUAAGCUUGCACAUUCCUCAACUAUGCUUAAGUGGUCGAGAUGAUAAGUUUUGGGACGCCCUGGUCCGUACGGUCCGUACAGUCCGUACGGCCGUCCGUACGGAUCGCCCUAACUUUCUCAUUAACCAUUGCAGCCUAAACUCCUCCAAUGUUCUCCCAUGUCUGAUUAGAACCCUUCUUGGACAUUGCCCCAAUCUUGUAUCAGCUUCUCAUCACUUCUGAAGCUUCAUAGAACUCUUCUUAAGAUCUUCAAGAGCUUGCCCCUAUAUGUACAAGCUCCAUUCUUCUCUUCAGUUCAACAC